GUUAUUUUCUCAAAUUUGUAUCAUUUUUUGAAAAUACUUGAAUAUUUAUUAAACUGACCAUUUUAUUAUUUUAAUGAAAUCUACGUACAAUUCCCAAUAAUACUGUAUACAUUUCAGCCCUUCCAUUAACUUGUUCACCUGGUGCAAUAUUGACAAUAAUGAAUCAAGGGAGACGAAAAACAUUGAAAAAACAAAGUGUUACUGAACCUCAAGUUAUUACUACCUACAACAAUCACUCUUAAAGACUUACAAUUUAAAAUACGGAAGUUGUGUAGUGUUGCAAUAUUACAAUAACGUAUUAUUGUCAUUUUAUAUUUUAGUCUACAUCCUGGGCCUGAACAACACAUGAAUAAAUAUACAAAGUAAAUAUACAUAACAACUGCUAUUUGUUACCAACAACUUGAGGUCAUUCUUAUCAAACUUCUGAUUGGUAUUCAUCAACACGAAUCAGGCAUUAAAUAAACCUAUUGUGUCUGAAUCAUAUACAGUUUAAAUUAUUAUAAGCAUUUAUAUUAUUGUUUCCACACAUCAUAAUGGCCUUCUGAAAAUGUAUAUCAGCUAACAGUACAUCAUUGAUUUAGCAGGAUGCAAUUGAUGGCUAUCCAGCGACAACACCGAGAACACGACACCCAUUCUACAUAUUCAUCAUCCAGUGGACAACGGUGCCUAUCUGAGUGCCAGUUACAGUAUAAGCAUAUGUUUGUCAUGUCUUCAGAAUUCUCUAAUAGAUAGGUCUUUAAAUAUUCUCUAUAAGUGUUAGGAUCGAACUCUAAACUGAACUUGGAAUUGUCCAUAAAUUUAAAUGCGUAAUAUAUAAUAUAAACUCCACAAUUAAAUGCAUCAUUUUGUUUUGGAACAUUUUCAAACGGGCAUGGAAUCUGUGUUAACGAUGGACAUUCAUGUGUGCCGUCACCGUAGAUGACAUCUGAUUUCAAAAUUUUAAAUACUUUAUUGAAACGAUCUUUUGAUGCUCGACUCUCUGUAUCAUAUGGACUAAUCGGGUCCAUGAUAUAACACUCUUUGGUGUUGAAAUUUAUAAAGACUAUAAUCCAAUGUCUACCAAUUAACCAUGGCAGGAUAACCAUACUGUUCUGAUUGAAAGUAAUUUUGUUAUGCACUUCCCCAACUACUCUUUUUCCCAAUAGCCAUGCAACAUCAUUGCAUGAUAAAAUGUGUGUGUUUUCUAAGCGCAGAUUAAAAGCGUAUGACAACAAACAAAUAUCUAUAACAAAGUUACACAACCAAUUUUCUUCAGACAAUGUAUCAAAAUCUGGGAAAUACAGGUCGUCCAAGAUGUUACAAUUUUUAUAAAUAGAUAAUAAGUAACUAUAUUUUACA
This is a long non-coding RNA of Aphis gossypii (cotton aphid), 1338 nucleotides long. RefSeq lists it as uncharacterized. The record is from RefSeq and is a predicted model, not a curated record. The transcript has 5 exons. NCBI's taxonomy places the organism in Eukaryota, Metazoa, Arthropoda, Insecta, Hemiptera, Aphididae.